This 633-nucleotide ribosomal RNA is filed under the name uncultured bacterium. RNAcentral describes it as "bacterial SSU rRNA". It matches the Rfam family "Bacterial small subunit ribosomal RNA", at positions 84 to 738 of the family's 1533-position model. The record is from RNAcentral.
UUUCUUGAUUAGUGGCGCACGGGUGAGUAAUGCAUAGAUAAUGUGCCCCUUAGUUCGGGAUAGCCACUGGAAACGGUGAUUAAUACCGGAUACUCCUUCUUGUUAUAAGACAAGUCGGGAAAGUUUUUCGCUAAGGGAUCAGUCUAUGUUCCAUCAGCUUGUUGGUGAGGUAAUGGCUCACCAAGGCUAUGACGGAUAUCUGGUUUGAGAGGAUGAUCAGACACACUGGAACUGAGACACGGUCCAGACUCCUACGGGAGGCAGCAGUGAGGAAUAUUGCACAAUGGAGGAAACUCUGAUGCAGCAACGCCGCGUGGAGGAUGACGCAUUUCGGUGUGUAAACUCCUUUUAUUAGGGAAGAUAAUGACGGUACCUAAUGAAUAAGCACCGGCUAACUCCGUGCCAGCAGCCGCGGUAAUACGGAGGGUGCAAGCGUUACUCGGAAUCACUGGGCGUAAAGGGUGCGUAGGCUGGCUUUUAAGUCAGAUGUGAAAUCCAAUGGCUCAACCAUUGAACUGCAUUUGAAACUGAAAGCCUAGAGUUCAGAAGGGGCAGAUGGAAUUAGUGGUGUAGGGGUAAAAUCCGUAGAUAUCACUAGGAAUAUCAAAAGCGAAGGCGAUCUGCUGGGAUGAU